Molecule: non-coding RNA, 1016 nt
Organism: Styela clava
Lineage: Eukaryota; Metazoa; Chordata; Ascidiacea; Stolidobranchia; Styelidae
Source: RefSeq, a predicted model, not a curated record
UGUCCCGAUUACGAGGAUAAGCGAAUAAAGUGAAAGCGAAUCUCACGAAUCGAGAGUUUGUUGAAAUUCUGUCCGGAUUGCGGAACAAGUGGAUCGAGGCGACAACGGAUCUCACAAAUCAUCUGUCUGUUCAAAUCAGCUGCGUUCUGGUUGGAAAGAUCAAAGGACAGUCGACAACCGAUCACGUACGUUGAAGACCAUUGAAAUAAUUGUCGUACCAUCUUGUUUAUAUAAACAGUGUAUUUUAAUUUUUUAUAUACCCAUCUUUCUACCCGAGUUUGCCGGAUAUCAAAGCUUGCCCCAGUAGUGGCGUAUCCGCGUGAAAUGGCGCCUAUGGAAAUGUUUAAAAUGCGCCCUCUUGAUCGAUCGUUUACUGAAAUUUUUAACUACGGUUUGUUGCUUUGGGAUACUUUUACGUUAUUUAAGUAGUUUUUAUCAAAAUGAUGUUUCGCCCAUUGUGCGCCCUCGUCCAAAUGGCGCCCGUGGCAGGGGCAGUGGCCCUCUUGCUAUACAUGUAUGCCACUGAGCCCAGGUAUCACCAAGAAAUUCACGAUUCUUCAUUUCGUGUCUGAUCAUAGCAGAAAAGCUUGAUAUCUCAAUGUUGCUCGCUUAUAAGCAAUCCGUCCCUGCAUUCCCAUACCCUCUUCCAGCUGUUGACCCAUGCCUAUUUUACAUGUCCCAAUUCAACCCCCCGUCAAUCACCAACCAUAACCCCCAAAGGCGUCACUCAAAGUUUGCGUAAAACGUUUACUAUAAAUCUAUUCGCUAGAGGUCGCUGCUGGGUAAGGAAUUGAAUGGUAUUUCGCUUGUUCGAAAAUUAGCGAUAUUUUUAUACGUUUUGUUUUCAUUUUAUUUUAUUCCAUGGCCCGUAUAGGGUAAAUUUUUCCAAUUAGGCUUUCAAUACUUUUAUUAUCGCUUUGGAAUCAUAGUUUGUCACGAAAUAAAUGUAGAACCAGUCGCGUAAGUCAAAUCAGAAAACAGAAAAGAGUCUCAUGUCAGGAUUCCGUUGAAAAAAU